This 492-nucleotide ribosomal RNA is filed under the name uncultured bacterium. RNAcentral's name for it is "partial 16S ribosomal RNA". It matches the Rfam family "Bacterial small subunit ribosomal RNA", at positions 29 to 507 of the family's 1533-position model. The record is from RNAcentral.
AGUGAACGCUGGCGGUAGGCCUAACACAUGCAAGUCGAACGGCAGCGCAGUAAGAGCUUGCUCGUACGGGUGGCGAGUGGCGGACGGGUGAGGAAUACAUCGGAAUCUACUUUUUCGUGGGGGAUAACGUAGGGAAACUUACGCUAAUACCGCAUACGACCUACGGGUGAAAGCAGGGGAUCUUCGGACCUUGCGCGAUUGAAUGAGCCGAUGUCGGAUUAGCUAGUUGGCGGGGUAAAGGCCCACCAAGGCGACGAUCCGUAGCUGGUCUGAGAGGAUGAUCAGCCACACUGGAACUGAGACACGGUCCAGACUCCUACGGGAGGCAGCAGUGGGGAAUAUUGGACAAUGGGCGCAAGCCUGAUCCAGCCAUACCGCGUGGGUGAAGAAGGCCUUCGGGUUGUAAAGCCCUUUUGUUGGGAAAGAAAAGCAGCAGGUUAAUACCCCGCUGUUCUGACGGUACCCAAAGAAUAAGCACCGGCUAACUUCGUG